RNAcentral lists this small RNA (939 nucleotides) under Pan troglodytes (chimpanzee). RNAcentral describes it as "processed transcript". The record is from RNAcentral. Lineage: Eukaryota; Metazoa; Chordata; Mammalia; Primates; Hominidae.
GAAGGACCUGUGACAUGAAGGACCUGGGCUUCAGCAGGUCUAGCACAUACCGCUCCAAGGGCUUUGACGUCACAGUGAAGUACACACAAGGAAGCUGGACGGGUUUCGUUGGGGAAGACUUCGUCACCAUCCCCAAAGGCUUCAAUACUUCUUUUCUUGUCAACAUUGCCACUAUUUUUGAAUCAGAGAAUUUCUUUUUGCCUGGGAUUAAAUGGAAUGGAAUACUUGGCCUAGCUUAUGCCACACUUGCCAAGCCAUCAAGUUCUCUGGAGACCUUCUUCGACUCCCUGGUGACACAAGCAAACAUCCCCAACGUUUUCUCCAUGCAGAUGUGUGGAGCUGGAUUGCCCGUUGCUGGAUCUGGGACCAACGGAGGUAGUCUUGUCUUGGGUGGAAUUGAACCAAGUUUGUAUAAAGGAGACAUCUGGUAUACCCCUAUUAAGGAAGAGUGGUACUACCAGAUAGAAAUUCUGAAAUUGGAAAUUGGAGGCCAAAGCCUUAAUCUGGACUGCAGAGAGUAUAACGCAGACAAGGCCAUCGUGGACAGUGGCACCACGCUGCUGCGUCUGCCCCAGAAGGUGUUUGAUGCAGUGGUGGAAGCUGUGGCCCGCGCAUCUCUGAUUCCAGAAUUCUCUGAUGGUUUCUGGACUGGGUCCCAGCUGGCGUGCUGGACGAAUUCGGAAACACCUUGGUCUUACUUCCCUAAAAUCUCCAUCUACCUGAGAGACGAGAACUCCAGCAGGUCAUUCCGUAUCACAAUCCUGCCUCAGCUUUACAUUCAGCCCAUGAUGGGGGCCGGCCUGAAUUAUGAAUGUUACCGAUUCGGCAUUUCCCCAUCCACAAACGCGCUGGUGAUCGGUGCCACGGUGAUGGAGGGCUUCUAUGUCAUCUUCGACAGAGCCCAGAAGAGGGUGGGCUUCGCAGCGAGCCCCUGUGCAG